UACGGGGGGGGCAAGCGUUGUUCGGAAUUACUGGGCGUAAAGGGCGCGUAGGCGGCUCUGCACGUUCGUUGUGAAAUCGCCCGGCUCAACUGGGCGGGGUCAGCGGAUACGGCAGAGCUUGAGCAAGCUAGGGGGCAAUGGAAUUCCCGGUGUAUUGGUGGAAUGCGUAGAUAUCGGGAGGAACACCAGUGGCGAAGGCGGUUGCCUGGGGCUUUGCUGACGCUGAUGCGCGAAAGCGUGGGGAGCGAUCCGG
This 253-nucleotide ribosomal RNA is filed under the name uncultured bacterium. Its description in RNAcentral is "partial 16S ribosomal RNA". It matches the Rfam family "Bacterial small subunit ribosomal RNA", at positions 524 to 776 of the family's 1533-position model. The record is from RNAcentral.